AGUGAACGCUGGCGGUAGGCCUAACACAUGCAAGUCGAACGGCAGCACAGUAAGAGCUUGCUCUUACGGGUGGCGAGUGGCGGACGGGUGAGGAAUACAUCGUAAUCUACUUUUUCGUGGGGGAUCACGUAGGGAAACUUACGCUAAUACCGCAUACGACCUACGGGUGAAAGCAGGGGAUCUUCGGACCUUGCGCGAUUGAAUGAGCCGAUGUCGGAUUAGCUAGUUGGCGGGUUAAAGGCCCACCAAGGCGAGGAUCCGUAGCUGGUCGGGGAGGAGGGUCAGCCACAUGGGAGCGGGGACAGGGACCAGACGCCUACGGGAGGGAGCAGAGGGGAAUAUUGGACAAUGGUCGCAAGCCUGAUCCAGCGAUACCGCGUGGGUGAAGAAGGCCUUCGGGUUGUAAAGCCCGUUUGUUGGGAAAGAAAAGCAGCAGGUUAAUACGCCGCUGUUCUGACGGUACCCAAAGAAUAAGCACCGGCUAACUUCGUG
RNAcentral lists this ribosomal RNA (492 nucleotides) under uncultured bacterium. RNAcentral describes it as "partial 16S ribosomal RNA". It matches the Rfam family "Bacterial small subunit ribosomal RNA", at positions 29 to 507 of the family's 1533-position model. The record is from RNAcentral.